Molecule: ribosomal RNA, 500 nt
Filed under: uncultured Glomeromycotina
Lineage: Eukaryota; Fungi; Glomeromycota
Description: partial small subunit ribosomal RNA
Rfam family: Eukaryotic small subunit ribosomal RNA
Source: RNAcentral
CCAAUAGCGUAUAUUAAAGUUGUUGCAGUUAAAAAGCUCGUAGUUGAAUUUCGGGGUCAGUAAGUUGGUCGUGCCACUGGUAUGCACUGGCUUUACUGGUUCCUCCUUCUUGAAGAACUGUGAUGUCAUUAAUUUGGUGUUGCAGGGAAACAGGACUGUUACUUUGAAAAAAUUAGAGUGUUUAAAGCAGGCUAACGCUUGAAUACAUUAGCAUGGAAUAAUGAAAUAGGACGUUUGACCCUAUUUUGUUGGUUUCUAGGAUCGACGUAAUGAUUAAUAGGGAUAGUUGGGGGCAUUAGUAUUCAAUUGUCAGAGGUGAAAUUCUUGGAUUUAUUGAAGACUAACUACUGCGAAAGCAUUUGCCAAGGAUGUUUUCAUUAAUCAAGAACGAAAGUUAGGGGAUCGAAGACGAUCAGAUACCGUCGUAGUCUUAACCAUAAACUAUGCCGACUAGGGAUCGGAUGAUGUUAAUUUUUUAAUGACUCAUUCGGCGCCUUACG